This 497-nucleotide ribosomal RNA is filed under the name uncultured bacterium. RNAcentral's name for it is "partial 16S ribosomal RNA". It matches the Rfam family "Bacterial small subunit ribosomal RNA", at positions 28 to 507 of the family's 1533-position model. The record is from RNAcentral.
GAUGAACGCUGGCGGCGUGCCUAAUACAUGCAAGUCGAGCGAACAGAUGAGGAGCUUGCUCCUCUGAUGUUAGCGGCGGACGGGUGAGUAACACGUGGAUAACCUACCUAUAAGACUGGGAUAACUUCGGGAAACCGGAGCUAAUACCGGAUAAUAUAUUGAACCGCAUGGUUCAAAAGUGAAAGACGGUUUUGCUGUCACUUAUAGAUGGAUCCGCGCUGCAUUAGCUAGUUGGUAAGGUAACGGCUUACCAAGGCAACGAUGCGUAGCCGACCUGAGAGGGUGAUCGGCCACACUGGAACUGAGACACGGUCCAGACUCCUACGGGAGGCAGCAGUAGGGAAUCUUCCGCAAUGGGCGAAAGCCUGACGGAGCAACGCCGCGUGAGUGAUGAAGGUCUUCGGAUCGUAAAACUCUGUUAUUAGGGAAGAACAUAUGUGUAAGUAACUAUGCACGUCUUGACGGUACCUAAUCAGAAAGCCACGGCUAACUACGUG